GGCCGGAUGGUCUAGUGGUAUGAUUCUCGCUUUGGGUUCGUUCCUGAUCUGCGAGAGGCCCCGGGUUCAAAUCCCGGUUCGGCCC
Sporormia fimetaria CBS 119925 is the source of this 85-nucleotide non-coding RNA. The record is from the annotation of a GenBank genome assembly. Lineage: Eukaryota; Fungi; Ascomycota; Dothideomycetes; Pleosporales; Sporormiaceae.